Long non-coding RNA from Entelurus aequoreus (snake pipefish), 1099 nucleotides. RefSeq lists it as uncharacterized. Lineage: Eukaryota; Metazoa; Chordata; Actinopteri; Syngnathiformes; Syngnathidae. The record is from RefSeq and is a predicted model, not a curated record. The transcript is spliced from 3 exons.
CGUACGCAAUCAACAAUGCGUUUGCAGGAGUGAGACCAACGCUGUAACCUGUUUUGAUAAAUGCUUGUGGAAGCUUUCAGAAGACCCGACCUCUCACUGUUCAACAAAAAAAUGCGGGUAGAGUUUCUGAUAUGCACGUUUUCCCCAGUCAGCUACCCACACUCUGAACUCUGCGCUUUAUACAAUAAUGUGAUUAAAUUAUAGGUUAAUUCGGGUUCACAUGCCGCCAAUAAGUUCAGCCUCGUCACAUCAGACCGAUGGAAUAGUCAAACGUGUCACAAUGAACCAAUGAAAUUGUUCACAUUAAAUAAAAUAAAAAAGUUCAUAUUAAAUCAAAAACACCCACACAAUCUUUCAGUCAGCCAUUUAGAGCGUUAUGUACUCUCCCUCAUCGAGACAUGACGAAAUGCAGACGGCGACCCCAGCGUGCAGGACGAAGACCGCACUUAACGACUUCUCCGUUAGGCUCCUGUAAAAAAAAAAAUUCACAUUAAAUCAAACACACUCACACAAUCUUCCAGUCAGCCAUUUAGAGCGUUAUGUACUCUCCCUCAUCAAGACAUGACGAAAUGCAGAUGGCGACCCCAGCGUGCAGGAGGAGGAAGAGCACACUCAACGACUUCUCCGUAGGUUCCUGUAAAAAAAAAUUGUUCACAAUGAAUCAAACACACUCACACAAUCUUUCAGUCAGCCAUUUAGAGCGUUAUGUACUCUCCCUCAUCAAGAGAUGACGAAAUGCAGAAGGCGACCCCAGCGUGCAGGAGGAGGAAGAGCAGGAUGAAGAUCGCACUCGACUUCUGCGGUAGGCUCCUGUAAAAAAAAAAAAAUUGUUCACAUUAAAUCAAACACACCCACACAAUCUUACAGUCAGCAGCCAUCUAGAGUGUUAUGUACUCUCCCUCAUCAAGAUAUGACGAAAUGCAGAAGGCGACCCCAGCGUGCAGGAGGAGGAAGAGCAAGACGAAGACCACGCUCAAUAACUCCUCCGUAGGCUCCUAGAUGACAAAAUGCAGAAGGCGACCCCAGCGUGCAGGAGGAGGAAGAGCAAGACGAAGGCCGCACUCAACGACUUCUCUGACAUGACGAAAUGCAGAAGGUG